Molecule: ribosomal RNA, 449 nt
Filed under: uncultured bacterium
Lineage: Bacteria
Description: partial 16S ribosomal RNA
Rfam family: Bacterial small subunit ribosomal RNA
Source: RNAcentral
CCUACGGGUGGCUGCAGUGGGGAAUUUUGGACAAUGGGCGCAAGCCUGAUCCAGCCAUUCCGCGUGAGUGAAGAAGGCCUUCGGGUUGUAAAGCUCUUUCGCAAGGGACGACAACUUAUCCUCUAACAUAGGAUGAGGUUGACGGUACCUUGAUAAGAAGCACCGGCUAACUACGUGCCAGCAGCCGCGGUAAUACGUACGGUGCGAGCGUUAGUCGGAAUUGCUGGGCGUAAAGCGUGCGCAAGCUGUUAAAGCCCCGAGCUCAACGUGGGAAAUGCGUUUGAAACUACAAGACUAGAAUAGGUCAGAGGGGGGUAGAAUUCCACGUGUAGCAGUGAAAUGCGUAGAGAUGUGGAGGAAUAUCAAUGGCGAAGGCAGCCCCCUGGGAUCAUAUUGACGCUCAUGCACGAAAGCGUGGGGAGCAAACAGGAUUAGAUACCCCGGUAGUC